Molecule: ribosomal RNA, 273 nt
Filed under: uncultured archaeon
Lineage: Archaea
Description: partial 16S ribosomal RNA
Rfam family: Archaeal small subunit ribosomal RNA
Source: RNAcentral
UACCAGCACCCCGAGUGGUCGGGACGUUUAUUGGGCCUAAAGCAUCCGUAGCCGGUUCUACAAGUCUUCCGUUAAAUCCACCUGCUUAACAGAUGGGCUGCGGAAGAUACUAUAGAGCUAGGAGGCGGGAGAGGCAAGCGGUACUCGAUGGGUAGGGGUAAAAUCCGUUGAUCCAUUGAAGACCACCAGUGGCGAAGGCGGCUUGCCAGAACGCGCUCGACGGUGAGGGAUGAAAGCUGGGGGAGCAAACCGGAUUAGAUACCCCAGUAGUCC